Molecule: ribosomal RNA, 348 nt
Filed under: Didymia unifasciata
Lineage: Eukaryota; Metazoa; Arthropoda; Insecta; Hymenoptera; Argidae
Description: partial large subunit ribosomal RNA
Source: RNAcentral
AUAAUAAUUAGUCUUUUAAUUGAAGGCUGGUAUGAAUGAUUGAACGAGAUAAAGACUGUCUCAAUUAAAUUAAAGUUUAAAUUUAAUUUUUAAGUUAAAAAGCUUAAAUAUUUUUAAAGGACGAGAAGACCCUAUAGAACUUUAUAAUUUAAUUUUAUUAUUUUUAAAUUUUAAAUUCUUAAUUAUUAGAUUAUUUUGUUGGGGCGACAGGAAAAUUUAUUAAACUUUUUUAAUUUUUUAACAUUAAUAAAUGAAUUAUUGAUCCUAGUUUUUAGAUUAUUAGAUUAAGUUACCUUAGGGAUAACAGCGUUAUUUUUUUUUAGAGUUCAUAUUAAUAAAAAAGAUUAC